GUUGAACGCUGGCGGCAUGCCUAAUACAUGCAAGUCGAGUGAAAACAGGAAACGGCUUGCUGUUUCGCUGACGAGGGGCGGGGGGGUGUGUAAUGUGGGUGAAACUGCCUUAUGACGGGGGUUAACUACGGGAAACGGUGGCUAAUACGGCAUAACGUCUCAAGCCCAUGGUUGGGGACUUUAGGGCCGCUUUCCUUCAACUUUUCCCAGAUUGGAUUAGCUAGUAGGUGGGGUAAAGGCUCACCGAGGCGACGAUCCCUAGCUGGUCUGAGAGGAUGACCAGCCACACUGGAACUGAGACACGGUCCAGACUCCUACGGGAGGCAGCAGUGGGGAAUCUUGCACAAUGGGCGAAAGCCUGAUGCAGCCAUGCCGCGUGUAUGAAGAAGGCCUUCGGGUUGUAAAACUCUGUCAUCGGGGAGGAAGGGAGUUAAAAUAAAACAUUCACUCAUUGACGUUACCCGAAGAAAAAGCCCCGGCUAACUCCGUG
This 490-nucleotide ribosomal RNA is filed under the name uncultured bacterium. Its description in RNAcentral is "partial 16S ribosomal RNA". It matches the Rfam family "Bacterial small subunit ribosomal RNA", at positions 28 to 507 of the family's 1533-position model. The record is from RNAcentral.